AAGUGGUGGUGGGGUGAUCGUCCGAGUGUGGUGAUGGUGGUGGCUGUGUGGUGUUGUGGUGGUGACCAGAUCUCGUCUCUCUCUUGUUUACUUGUUCCAGAUCUGUUCAGAUCUCCUCCCUCUUGUCUCUUGUUCCCAGAUCCGGAUCCAGAUCUAGGCUAAGGUGGAGUGUCUUGAACCCAUCUUAUUCUCCUGCACUGUAUACUCCUUUAUGUUGGAGUUAGGGUUGUUUAGACCCUGUUUGAAAGCUAGGAUGAUAGAACAUGAUUAUUGCUAGGAUGUUAGAUGAAUGGAUCACGAUGCAUAAGAACCCUCAUAUUGUUAAAUGGGACUUAGUAAACUGAAAUGGAGUUGUGGUAGUGAUGAUUGAUUGGUGAUUUAUGCUUGUAUGUUUGGAUGUGUAGUCCCAUGAGUGGUUAGUGAUUAAAGUUAGGAUGCUAGAGAGAAAUGAAUGCUAAGCUGAUAGAUGAGUAAGGAUUGUUAAAGUUAUUGAAGUAGAACUUGAGUGCGAUGUGUAUUGUGUGUGACACCGAUAACGGGUGGCAUCUAGUGAAUGAGUCCAAGUACAAGUCUAAAUGAAAAGGAAAGUGAAUGAGAAUGGGAAGGGAUAAGUGGAAAUGAUAAGGAUGUAAAAGGAUAAGUGAAAAUAUGAAAGAAUAAUGUUACGGUUAAGCAUGGGUGGGAAAGCAUAUAGAGUCUAAGGAAAGUAUGUGUGGCAGUAGUUCUCGCUAGGUAUCCAUAGGAGAUGUGGUUUUUCCCUGUGCGCAGGACUGUAAGUAGAAGUAUAUGGAUGUGGGUGUGACGGUAUUUCAAAGAAGGUUAUGCGCUCGUCUCUCGGGACCAGUAACGGGACACGUAGGGUUGUCUAAAUGAGUAGACACGUGUCCAUAACGCCCCUUCG
This 901-nucleotide long non-coding RNA is filed under the name Brassica napus (rape). RNAcentral describes it as "long non-coding RNA (BNAP_LNC001715)". The record is from RNAcentral. Lineage: Eukaryota; Viridiplantae; Streptophyta; Magnoliopsida; Brassicales; Brassicaceae.